GUUGGGAUGGCUGCUGCGAACGUGGAUUUGGAAGAGUUGACGAGUGACUUCGCUAUUCUUAACAACAACGACGGCCUGUCCAGCAGUAGCAGCGAUAGAUAUGACGAUGGAAGACUGGAUACUA
This 124-nucleotide non-coding RNA is filed under the name Proboscia alata. The record is from RNAcentral. Lineage: Eukaryota; Bacillariophyta; Melosirophyceae; Probosciales; Probosciaceae.